This 644-nucleotide ribosomal RNA is filed under the name uncultured organism. Its description in RNAcentral is "bacterial SSU rRNA". It matches the Rfam family "Bacterial small subunit ribosomal RNA", at positions 87 to 765 of the family's 1533-position model. The record is from RNAcentral.
AUACAUAAGUGGCGCACGGGUGAGUAACACGUGGGAACUGCCCAUCAGUCUGGAAUAACCAGGUGAAACUUUGGCUAAUACCGGAUAUUCCCUCCGGGGGAAAGAUUUAUCGCUGAUGGAUGGGCCCGCGGUGGAUUAGCUUGUUGGUGGGGUAAAAGCCCACCAAGGCGACGAUCUAUAGCUGGUUUGAGAGGACGAUCAGCCACACUGGGACUGAGACACGGCCCAGACUCCUACGGGAGGCAGCAGCUAGGAAUAUUGCGCAAUGGGGGAAACCCUGACGCAGCCAUGCCGCGUGAGUGAAGACGGCUUUCGGGUUUGUAAAGCUCUUUCGAUGGUGAAGAUGAUGACUGUAGCCAUAGAAGAAGCCCCGGCUAACUUCGUGCCAGCAGCCGCGGUAAUACGAAGGGGGCUAGCGUUGUUCGGAAUUACUGGGCGUAAAGGGCUCGUAGGCGGCUUGUUUAGUCAGGGGUGAGAUCCUGAGGCUCAACCUCAGAACCGCCUUUGAUACUGACAGGUUAGAGCAUGAUAGAGGGUGGCGGAAUUCCCAGUGUAGAGGUUAAAUUCGUAGAUAUUGGGAGGAACACCGGUGGCGAAGGCCGGCACCUAGGGUCAUUGCUGACGCUCAGGAGCGAAAGCGUGGG